GUAAGCAGAGCCUGUUAUAUCUAAAUCUGCAUAUUGGCUAUGAACUAAAUUUUGAACCUGUGGAAAACGUAUUGGGAGACUGGUUUAAAUUCAGGGGGUCAGGGGAACGGUCUGUGAGUUAGAGUCUCACUAUAAGUCGGGUUAGAGGCCCGUUACCGGUGUGUGAGUUAGAGUCUCACUGUAAGUCGGGUUAGAGGCCCGCUACCGGUGUGUGAGUUAGAGUCUCACUGUAAGUCGGGUUAGAGGCCCGUUAAUCGUUCUAGGGUUGACUACCCUACGCCACUUCCCGACGGGGACGGUGGAGAGUUGCGAGUUAGAGUCUCGGCAACCAGUCGGGUUAGAGGCCCGAGGACUUAGGGGCACCUCGAAGUACUUAUUGUGUGUAAAGGUUCAUCUGGGUUAGAGUCCCGGGGAGUUUUAGAACUCCCCAAAUUCUGUAUCUGGGUUAGAGUCCCGGGGAGUUUUGGAACUCCCCAAAUUCUGUAUCUGGGUUAGAGUCCCGGGGAGUUUUAGAACUCCCCAAAUUCUGUAUCUGGGUUAGAGUCCCGGGGAGUUUUAGAACUCCCCAAAUUCUGUAUCUGGGUUAGAGUCCCGGGGAGUUUUGGAACUCCCCAAAUUCUUUAUAAGAAAACUGGGUUUGAGUCCCAAAAGUGUUGGGUCAGGUACCCGUUAAUCAUUUGUUAAUUAUUCUGAGUCUGGGACUCACAGUAACGUAAGUCAGGUUGAAAUGGACGGGGAGUGUGAGAGAGAAGUUGAUGAUGAUGGGCGGUGUCCAGGCACGGGAAAGUGGAAACAAUUGGGGAUACAGGUGGCAAAUGUAAUGACUGUUGUAGGCAGGAUGGACCCAAUUCAGAAAGAAAAAGAAGGGAUAGAAGAGAAAUUGCGACAAGUGGUGAGUGAGGCAGGAUUAAGGAUGGAGGAAAGGAGACCAUUACAUGUUAUUUUGUGGAAUAAGGAGAAGGAGUGUUCCAAAAAUCGAGAUAGAGUUAGAGACAAGAAGGAAACAGCCAAUUUGGUCAAGAGAGGGAGAUAUAGAGAAAAGGAGAAGGAAGGGGAAAAGCACAGAAAAGAAUGGUGUAAAUUAGCAGUGUGGUGUCAGGGCGUAGACCAUUUGAACAAAGAGAAAAAGGGACAGAAAAUUAAGGAGAAAAAGGGAGGAGAGAUAGAACCCCUAGCAUAUGAAGAUGACCUGGUGGUGCAUGGUACCGUGUACCAUUAUAUCCAGCGUUAUGUUUAGAGAGUGGGAUAUUGUCUUUAGACACACAGAACAGCAAGCCCAUAACUCAAUUCACAGGAAAGCAAGAUAAGAGAAAAUUAAGUAGGAAGGCGGAGUCAGAGAGCGAGACAGACACUGAGGGGGAGGUGAAACCGUUCAAGGCAAGGGUAGAGAAAGAGGAGCGAGAAGGGGAGACGACUAGGAAAGAAUAAACAAGAGGAGAUUACUGGGGCCAUAAAGAAAAGAUCAGGCCGUACUAAAGGCAGGUUAGGUGAGGACUCAAGAUCAGGGUCGGACGAUAGUGACACAGUGAGAAGGACCAGAACUAGGCAGAAAAAAGGGAAUUCACAUAGAGGACGGGUGGUACUCACGGGCAAUGCAGUAGGGAGAUGGACUGACUCAGACAAAGACCCCGACACAGACAGUAGUGGAGACGGGAGUGAGGGAGACGUGGACGUAUACCCUCUGCCGCGUACGCCCCCACCAGAACAUAAACUACACCAUGACACAGUAGAAUCACUUCAAAAGACUCAAAAUAAAAUGUAUACGCGGUCACAAGCAGGGGAAGCUGGUUGUGCUGGGUUUCAGCUGCCUCUCUUUAGAGUGGGAGGCGGAGAACCGCGAUAUAAACCAUUGGAGCUGGGACACGUACAGGCACUGGUAGAUAAAUUACCCCCGAUGGGAGAGGGAGGUGGACUAUGGUUGUCACAAUUUGAUAAACUCACAGCUGGUCAAAUGUUGGCACUGGGGGACUGGAGGGCAGUAGUCGCCCGAGCCAUGUCCGCCCAGGCUAUGACUGAGAUAGAAAAAGGGGCCGCCACUAGGCGGAGCCCUGACGACACUCCUUUCAGUCAGGUGGUCGGGCGCAUAGCCACGGCCCUGAGGGGACGAUUUCCCUUGCCCACUGGGGCCCCGAUGCCCAAGUUACCUUGGGAAAAAGAGCAACACCCUAGACAGUAUCUAGAAGCAUGUAAGGACACAUGGGCCAAACACACAGGGCACCACCCGGGGAAGGGAGGUCUGCAGCAGGAGUGGUUUAGAAGGGCGGUCUUAGAGGGACUUCCAGAGAAAAUAAAAGAGGCAAUGAUGGCAAAUCCUGACUUGCCAGGUAGUGAAUCACACGUAUGGGAAAGACACAUAGUACAUAAUUUACAGAGGGCAAAAGAUGAGGAGACAGAGAAAGACAAACAGAUACAGGGA
Molecule: long non-coding RNA, 2416 nt
Organism: Esox lucius (northern pike)
Lineage: Eukaryota; Metazoa; Chordata; Actinopteri; Esociformes; Esocidae
Source: Ensembl